RNAcentral lists this ribosomal RNA (472 nucleotides) under uncultured bacterium. RNAcentral describes it as "SSU rRNA". It matches the Rfam family "Bacterial small subunit ribosomal RNA", at positions 26 to 518 of the family's 1533-position model. The record is from RNAcentral.
AGGACGAACGCUGGCGGCGUGCUUAACACAUGCAAGUCGAGCGGAAAGGCCCUUCGGGGUACUCGAGCGGCGAACGGGUGAGUAACACGUGAGUAACCUGCCCCUAGCUCUGGGAUAGCUCCGGGAAACCGGGAUUAAUACCAGAUACGACCACUUUAGACAUCUGUCGUGGUGGAAAGGAUUCCGGCUAGGGAUGGGCUCGCGGCCUAUCAGCUUGUUGGUGGGGUAACGCCUACCAAGGCGACGACGGGUAGCCGGCCUGAGAGGGCGACCGGCCACACUGGGACUGAGACACGGCCCAGACUCCUACGGGAGGCAGCAGUGGGAUAUUGCGCAAUGGGCGAAAGCCUGACGCAGCGACGCCGCGUGGGGGAUGGAAGGCCUUCGGGUUGUAAACCCCUUUCAGCAGGGACGAAGCGAAAGUGACGGUACCUGCAGAAGAAGCGCCGGCUAACUACGCGCCAGCAGCCGC